Non-coding RNA from Pelobates cultripes (western spadefoot toad), 3676 nucleotides. The record is from the annotation of a GenBank genome assembly. NCBI's taxonomy places the organism in Eukaryota, Metazoa, Chordata, Amphibia, Anura, Pelobatidae.
ACUCUGCUCUCUCCCAUCAACAAACUAAAGACUAUUUUGAGAACUAUAACAGAAUUCCACGCGAAAUUCAUGAAGAAAUAUCAGUGACAUUCAAGGAGGUGCUUCCAGCCACAUCAACCACCAGCUCUGCCCACUGUGGAUCAUUAGUUCUCCCAGUCACCAGCUCUGCUCUCUGUGGAUCAUUAGUUCUCCCAGUCACCAGCUAUGCUCUCUGUGGACCAUUAGUUCUCCCAGUCACCAGCUCUGCUCUCUGUGGACCAUUAGUUCUCCCAGUCACCAGCUAUGCUUUCUGUGGAACAUUAGUUCUCCCAGUCACCAGCUCUGCUCUCUGUGGACCAUUAGUUCUCCCAGUCACCAGCUCUGCUCUCUGUGGACCAUUAGUUCUCCCAGUCACCAGCUAUGCUUUCUGUGGAACAUUAGUUCUCCCAGUCACCAGCUCUGCUCUCUGUGGACCAUUAGUUCUCCCAGUCACCAGCUCUGCUCUCUGUGGAUCAUUAGUUCUCCCAGUCACCAGCUCUGCUCUCUGUGGACCAUUAGUUCUCCCAGUCACCAGCUCUGCUCUCUGUGGAUCAUUAGUUCUCCUAGCCACCAGCUCUGCCCUCUGUGGAUGAUUAGUUCUCCACAGCCACCAGCUCUGCUCUCUGUGGACCAUUAGUUCUCCCAGCCACCAGCUCUGCUCUCUGUGGAUCAUUAGUUCUCCUAGUCACCAGCUCUGCCCUCUGUGGACCAUUAGUUCUCCCAGCCACCAGCUCUGCUCUCUGUGGAUCAUUAGUUCUCCCAGCCACCAGCUCUACUCUCUGUGGACCAUUAGUUCUUCCAGUCACCAGCUCUGCUCUCUGUGGAUCAUUAGUUCUCCCAGCCACCAGCUCUGCUCUCUGUGGAUCAUUAGUUCUCCCAGCCACCAGCUCUGCUCUCUGUGGAUCAUUAGUUCUCCCAGCCACCAGCUCUACUCUCUGUGGACCAUUAGUUCUUCCAGUCACCAGCUCUGCUCUCUGUGGACCAUUAGUUCUUCCAGUCACCAGCUCUGCUCUCUGUGGAUCAUUAGUUCUCCCAGCCACCAGCUCUGCUCUCUGUGGAUCAUUAGUUCUCCCUGUCACCAGCUAUGCUCUCUGUGGACCAUUAGUUCUCCCAGUCACCAGCUCUGCCCUCUGUGGACCAUUAGUUCUUCCAGUCACCAGCUCUGCUCUCUAUGGACCAUUAGUUCUCCCAGUCACCAGCUAUGCUCUCUGUGGACCAUUAGUUCUCCCAGUCACCAGCUCUGCUCUCUGUGGACCAUUAGUUCUCCCAGUCACCAGCUCUGCUCUCUGUGGACCAUUAGUUCUCCCAGUCACCAGCUAUGCUUUCUGUGGAUCAUUAGUUCUCCCAGCCACCAGCUAUGCUUUCUGUGGAACAUUAGUUCUCCCAGUCACCAUCUCUGCCCUCUGUGGACAAUUAGUUCUCCCAGCCACCAGUUAUGCUCUCUGUGGAUCAUUAGUUCUCCCAGUCACCAGCUCUGCUCUCUGUGGACCAUUAGUUCUCCCAGUCACCAUAUCUGCCCUCUGUGGACAAUUAGUUCUCCCAGCCACCAGCUAUGCUCUCUGUGGAUCAUUAGUUCUCCCAGUCACCAGCUCUGCUCUCUGUGGAUCAUUAGUUCUCCCAGUCACCAGCUCUGCUCUCUGUGGACAAUUAGUUCUCCCAGUCACCAGCUCUGCCCUCUGUGGACCAUUAGUUCUCCCAGUCUCCAGCUCUGCCCUCUGUGGACCAUUAGUUCUCCCAGCCACCAGCUAUGCUCUCUGUGGACCAUUAGUUCUCCCAGUCACCAGCUCUGCCCUCUGUGGACCAUUAGUUUUCCAGUCACCAGCUCUGCCCUCUGCGGACCAUUAGUUCUCCCAGCCACCAGCUCUGCUCUCUGUGGACCAUUAGUUCUCCCAGUCACCAGCUCUGCUCUCUGUGGAUCAUUAGUUCUCCCAGUCACCAGCUCUGCUCUCUGUGGACCAUUAGUUCUCCCAGUCACCAGCUAUGCUCUCUGUGGACCAUUAGUUCUCCCAGUCACCAGCUCUGCUCUCUGUGGACCAUUAGUUCUCCCAGUCACCAGCAUUGCUCUCUGUGGACCAUUAGUUCUCCCAGUCACCAGCUCUGCUCUCUGUGGACCAUUAGUUCUCCCAGUCACCAGCAUUGCUCUCUGUGGACCAUUAGUUCUCCCAGCCACCAGCUCUGCUGUCUGUGGACCAUUAGUUCUCCCAGCUACCAGCUACGCUCUCUGUGGACCAUUAGUUCUCCCAGUCACCAGCUCUGCUCUCUGUGGAUCCAGUCACCAUUUAUGCUAUCUGUGGACCAUUAGUUCUCCCCAGCCACCAUCUCUGAGGGUUAUUAGUACUCCCCAGUCACCAGUUCUGCUCUCUGUGGACUAUUAGUUAUCCCACCCACCCACUAUGCUCUCUGUGGACCAUUAGCUCUCCCACCCGCUAUGCUCUCUGUGGACCAUUAGUUCUCCCACCCGCUAUGCUCUCUUUGGACCAUUAGUUCUCCCAGCCCCCUGCUAUGUUCUUUUCAAAUAUUGUUUAUUGAAGUAUUAAAAUCUUUACAACAAAGAUAAUAAACCUGCUUUUCAGGGGAGGGAGGAAGAGUAAAGGUGGUAAAAGGGAAGGGUAUCCAUCUACAAUAAAGAUAAUUAUCAUAAUAUUACAUUAACAUUUUGCUAUACAUUGCAUAAUCAUGACGAUUAUAAAUGGUAAAUUCUUUUAAUGAUGUUUUCCAAUUUAUCCCAACUGUGAUGAAGUUGUUUAGGUAAGUCUGAGUUUUGUCUAUAUGACAUUUCGUUCCUUUUAUUUUCUAAAACCAGAUUCAAAACUUCUUUAAGUGUUGGAGUAUCAUCCGAUUUCCAGUAUUGUGGUAAACACGAGGUAGCAGCAAUUAGGAUGUGGCCUAUGAUGAUUCUAUCAAUUUUGGUACCAGAUUCCGGGAAGUGCUUAAAGGAUCACUAUAGGGUCAGGAACACAAACAUGUAUUCCUGACCCUAUAGUGUUAACACCCCCAUCUAGCCCCCCCCUGGGCCCCUCUUGCCUCCAUAAAUAUAGCAACAUCUUACUGUAUUCAAGCCUGAAGCUGUAACUCUGCAUGCUUUUAGCCUCAAAAAAAGGCUAACAUCAUCAGAACUGGUAGCCUGAUCCAAUCACAAUGCUUCCCCAUAGGAUUGGCUGAGACUGACAAGGAGGCAGAUCAGGGGCAGAGGCAGCACAAUUCAAACAGAGCCCUGGCCCAUCAGCAUCUCCUCAUAGAGAUGAAUUGAAUCAAAGAAAAGAAAUUACCUUGGGGUAUUAGAGAGGAAAAAAGGCAUAAAACCGUUCCUCUCAACCCCCCCCAAGGGUAUACCCACAAUGAUGAUAUUAACUUGUAAGGCCUGGGGUUUAAUAGUAUAAAAAAUAAAAAAGAUCUUUAUUAAAUUAUAUUUGUUAGAGUCUAUAAAGAGAAAAAAUGUGCAAGUGAUUUAAAAAGGGCAGACUCUUGUAACUUCUAUAGAAUGUUCCAGCAUACAGUGAAUAGCUGUAAAGUAAAUAUAUCCGCUACAUAGUAUAAAUAAAUAGAAUACUGUUCAUGUAGCACCCACUUAGGAACCACAGGAAAAUGGAUGACUAAAAAUAUAGUCAGAGUAAGUUAGGACAUGAGGAUAUUAUAUAUACACAUAUGUCAUUCUUAA